AACGAACGCUGGCGGCAGGCCUAACACAUGCAAGUCGAACGCCGUAGCAAUACGGAGUGGCAGACGGGUGAGUAACACGUGGGAACAUACCCUUCGGUUCGGAAUAACUCAGGGAAACUUGAGCUAAUACCGGAUACGUCCGCGAGGAGAAAGAUUCAUCGCCGGAGGAUUGGCCCGCGUCUGAUUAGCUUGUUGGUGAGGUAACGGCUCACCAAGGCGACGAUCAGUAGCGGUCUGAGAGGAUGAUCAGCCACAUUGGGACUGAGACACGGCCCAAACUCCUACGGGAGGCAGCAGGUGGGGAAUAUUGGACAAGUGGGCGCAAGCCUGAUCCAGCCAUGCCGCGUGAGUGAUGAAGGCCCUAGGGUUGUAAAGCUCGUUUUAACCCGGGAAGAUAAUGACUGUACCGGGAGAAUAAGCCCCGG
RNAcentral lists this ribosomal RNA (425 nucleotides) under uncultured bacterium. RNAcentral describes it as "bacterial SSU rRNA". It matches the Rfam family "Bacterial small subunit ribosomal RNA", at positions 29 to 496 of the family's 1533-position model. The record is from RNAcentral.